GACGAACGCUGGCGGCGUGCUUAACACAUGCAAGUCGAACGAUGACGACCGAGCUUGCUCGGUCUGAUUAGUGGCGAACGGGUGAGUAACACGUGAGCAACCUGCCCUUCACUCUGGGAUAACCUCGGGAAAUCGGGGCUAAUACCGGAUAUGAGCUCCUGUCGCAUGGCGGGUGUUGGAAAGUUUGUCGGUGAAGGAUGGGCUCGCGGCCUAUCAGUUUGUUGGUGAGGUAGUGGCUCACCAAGGCGAAGACGGGUAGCCGGCCUGAGAGGGCGACCGGCCACACUGGGACUGAGACACGGCCCAGACUCCUACGGGAGGCAGCAGUGGGGAAUAUUGCACAAUGGGCGAAAGCCUGAUGCAGCGACGCCGUGUGAGGGAUGACGGCCUUCGGGUUGUAAACCUCUUUCAGCAGGGAAGAAGCGAAAGUGACGGUACCUGCAGAAGAAGCGCCGGCUAACUACGUG
RNAcentral lists this ribosomal RNA (467 nucleotides) under uncultured bacterium. RNAcentral's name for it is "partial 16S ribosomal RNA". It matches the Rfam family "Bacterial small subunit ribosomal RNA", at positions 28 to 507 of the family's 1533-position model. The record is from RNAcentral.